This 67-nucleotide small nucleolar RNA is filed under the name Sparus aurata (gilthead seabream). RNAcentral's name for it is "Small nucleolar RNA SNORD75 (ENSSAUG00010010827.1)". It matches the Rfam family "Small nucleolar RNA SNORD75". From Rfam's summary of the family: U75 (SNORD75) belongs to the C/D class of snoRNAs which contain the C (UGAUGA) and D (CUGA) box motifs. Most of the members of the box C/D family function in directing site-specific 2'-O-methylation of substrate RNAs. This family includes the mouse orthologue Z19. The record is from Rfam by way of RNAcentral. Lineage: Eukaryota; Metazoa; Chordata; Actinopteri; Spariformes; Sparidae.
AACUAAUGAUGAUUAAAUAUAAGAGUAGUGGACAAAAGUGAUUUCUGAAAUCUGCAUUACUGAAGUU